CCUACGGGAGGCUGCAGUGAGGAAUAUUGGUCAAUGGACGAGAGUCUGAACCAGCCAAGUAGCGUGAAGGAAGACGGCCCUAUGGGUUGUAAACUUCUUUUAUAGGGGAAUAAAAUGUGCCACGUGGGGGGUUUUGUGUGUACCAUAUGAAUAAGGAUCGGCUAACUCCGUGCCAGCAGCCGCGGUAAUACGGAGGAUCCGAGCGUUAUCCGGAUUUAUUGGGUUUAAAGGGAGCGUAGGUGGAUUGUUAAGUCAGUUGUUAAAGUUUGGGGCUCCACCGUCAAAUUGCCGUUGAAACUGGCAGUCUUGAGUACAGUAGAGGUAGGCGGAAUUCGUGGUGUAGCGGUGAAAUGCUUAGAUAUCACGCAGAACUCCGAUUGCGAAGGCAGCUCACUGGACUGCAACUGACACUGAGGCUCGAAAGUGUGGGUAUCAAACAGGAUUAGAUACCCUAGUAGUC
Molecule: ribosomal RNA, 460 nt
Filed under: uncultured bacterium
Lineage: Bacteria
Description: partial 16S ribosomal RNA
Rfam family: Bacterial small subunit ribosomal RNA
Source: RNAcentral